UACAGAGGGUGCAAGCGUUGUUCGGAAUUAUUGGGCGUAAAGCGCGUGUAGGCGGCUUUGCAAGUCGGGUGUGAAAGCCCUCGGCUCAACCGAGGAAGUGCGCCCGAAACUGCAGAGCUUGAGUACCGGAGAGGAUGGCGGAAUUCCCCAAGUAGAGGUGAAAUUCGUAGAUAUGGGGAGGAACACCGGUGGCGAAGGCGGCCUUCUGGACAGCAACUGACGCUGAGACGCGAAAGCGUGGGGAGCAAACAGG
RNAcentral lists this ribosomal RNA (253 nucleotides) under uncultured bacterium. RNAcentral describes it as "partial 16S ribosomal RNA". It matches the Rfam family "Bacterial small subunit ribosomal RNA", at positions 524 to 776 of the family's 1533-position model. The record is from RNAcentral.